AUACUUACCUGGCAGGGGAGAUACCAUGAUCACUAAGGUGGUUCUCCCAGGGUGAGGCUCAUCCAGUGCACUCCGGGUGUGCUGACCCCUGCGAUUUCCCCAAAUGCAGGAACUGCAUAAUUUGUGAAC
RNAcentral lists this small nuclear RNA (129 nucleotides) under Erpetoichthys calabaricus (reedfish). RNAcentral describes it as "U1 spliceosomal RNA (ENSECRG00000007637.1)". It matches the Rfam family "U1 spliceosomal RNA", at positions 1 to 136 of the family's 166-position model. From Rfam's summary of the family: U1 is a small nuclear RNA (snRNA) component of the spliceosome (involved in pre-mRNA splicing). The record is from Rfam by way of RNAcentral. Lineage: Eukaryota; Metazoa; Chordata; Cladistia; Polypteriformes; Polypteridae.